GACGAACGCUGGCGGCUUGCUUAACACAUGCAAGUCGAACGGAAAGGCCCUGCUUUUGUGGGGUGCUCGAGUGGCGAACGGGUGAGUAACACGUGAGUAACCUUCCCUUGACUUUGGGAUAACUUCAGUAAACUGGGGCUAAUACCGGAUAGGAGCUCCUGCUGCAUGGUGGGGGUUGGAAAGUUUCGGCGUUUGGGGAUGGACUCGCGGCUUAUCAGCUUGUUGGUGGGGUAGUUGCUUACCAAGGCUUUGACGGGUAGCCGGCCUGAGCGGGUGACCGGCCACAUUGGGGCUGAGAUACGGCCCAGACGCGUACGGGAGGCAGCAGUGGGGAAUGUUGCAGAAUGGGCGGAAGCCUGAUGCAGAAACGCCGCGUGCGGGAUGACGGCCUUCGGGUUGUAAACCGUUUUCGCCUGUGACGAAGCGUGAGUGACGGUAAGGGGUAAAGAAGCACCGGCUAACUACGUG
RNAcentral lists this ribosomal RNA (468 nucleotides) under uncultured bacterium. RNAcentral's name for it is "partial 16S ribosomal RNA". It matches the Rfam family "Bacterial small subunit ribosomal RNA", at positions 28 to 507 of the family's 1533-position model. The record is from RNAcentral.